This 518-nucleotide ribosomal RNA is filed under the name uncultured bacterium. Its description in RNAcentral is "bacterial SSU rRNA". It matches the Rfam family "Bacterial small subunit ribosomal RNA", at positions 32 to 524 of the family's 1533-position model. The record is from RNAcentral.
AAUCAACGCUGGCGGCGUGCCUAACACAUGCAAGUCGAACGCGAAAGGGACUUCGGUCCUGAGUAGAGUGGCGAACGGGUGAGUAACACGUGGGUGACCUACCUUCGAAUGGGGGAUAACGUCCCGAAAGGGACGCUAAUACCGCAUAACAUCCUGUCCUUGAACGGAUGGUGAUCAAAGCCGGGGAUCGCAAGACCUGGCGUUUGAAGAGGGGCCCGCGUCCGAUUAGCUAGUUGGUGAGGUAACGGCUCACCAAGGCAACGAUCGGUAACCGGCCUGAGAGGGCGGACGGUCACACUGGGACUGAGACACGGCCCAGACUCCUACGGGAGGCAGCAGUGGGGAAUUGUUCACAAUGGGCGCAAGCCUGAUGACGCAACGCCGCGUGGAGGAUGAGGGUCUUCGGAUUGUAAACUCCUGUUGCCCGGGACGAAAUGCUUUGACCUAACACGUCAAAGUUUGACGGUACCGGGUGAGGAAGCCCCGGCUAACUCUGUGCCAGCAGCCGCCGCCGUAAG